AGAGUUUGAUCAUGGCUCAGGAUGAACGCUAGCGACAGGCUUAACACAUGCAAGUCGAGGGGGCAUCGAUGAGGUAGCAAUACCUUGAUGGCGACCGGCGCACGGGUGAGUAACGCGUAUGCAACCUGCCGUGAUACCGGGGUAUAGCCAUGGAAACGUGGACUUAACACCCCAUAGUACUUUUAUCCUGCAUUGGGGAUAGUGAGUUAAAUG
RNAcentral lists this ribosomal RNA (213 nucleotides) under uncultured bacterium. Its description in RNAcentral is "partial 16S ribosomal RNA". It matches the Rfam family "Bacterial small subunit ribosomal RNA", at positions 8 to 207 of the family's 1533-position model. The record is from RNAcentral.